Long non-coding RNA from Brassica oleracea var. oleracea, 2414 nucleotides. RefSeq lists it as uncharacterized. The record is from RefSeq and is a predicted model, not a curated record. Lineage: Eukaryota; Viridiplantae; Streptophyta; Magnoliopsida; Brassicales; Brassicaceae. The transcript has 3 exons.
UUAAUGGCGGUUUCUGCAGGGGAUUUAGCCUUUGCCUCUUUCUACAUCCCUUGCCGCCUUUACUUCCACUCCGGUGACGGUCUCCGAUUUAAAAGAUGAACAAGGAAACACCACCUCCAGCUCCUUCACCCAGAAAUUCGCCUACAGUCGAGCCUCCCCCGCCGUCCGAUGGACCUCCGUGAGACAUAUGACCCCACAACUCCAACCCAAUCUCAUCCUCUCCCUCCUCCGGUUUCUCCGAUCGCCGAUACGCCGGAUUCCGGCGAAUUCAUCGAUUCCGUUCCCUCCAGCGACCACCAAAAGGCGAACGAAGAUGAACAAGGUCGCGCUGAUAAGAGCCAAGGACUGGAGGGAGAGAGUCAAACUCCUAACGGAUAAGAUCCUAACCCUUAAACCUAACCAAUUCGUCGCUGAACAUUCUCGACGCUCGCCUCGUUCAGAUGACUCCCACCGAUUACUGCUUCGUCGUGAAAUCCGUCGGCGCCGUGAGCUGCCAACGAGCUCUCGAGGUUUUCGAGUGGCUCAACCUCCGCCACUGGCACUCUCCCAACGCGCGCAUGGUAGCGGCCAUUCUCGGCGUUCUGGGCCGGUGGAAUCAAGAAUCUCUCGCGGCGGAGAUUUUCGCUAGAUGAUGGGAGUUUGUUCGCUCGGUGGGAAGUUCACGAAAGCGCAGGAGGUGCUCGACGAAAUGCCGAUGAGAGGGAUUGUUCCUGAUUUGAUCAGUUUCAAUACAUUGGUCAACGCUAGGGUCAAAUCCGGUGGGUUGACUCCGAAUCUAGCCGUUGAGUUAUUAGAUAUGGUGAGGAACUCUGGUCUUAGGCCUGAUGCUAUCACUUACAACACGCUUCUCAGCGCGUGUUCGAGGGAUUCGAAUUUGGAAGGGGCUGUGUAUUUUUUCGAGGACAUGGAAGCGCCUGACUUGUGGACUUACAAUGCUAUGAUCUCUGUUUACGGAAGAUGCGGGCUUACUGCAAAAAACUGAGAGUCUCUUCGCGGAGCUGGAGCUUAAAGGCUUCUUCCCUGAUGCGGUUACUUAUAAUUCUUUGCUCUAUGCUGUUGCUAGAGAGAGGAAUACGGAGGAGGUGAAGGAGGUUUACGUGGCGAUGCAGAAAAUGGGGUUUGGGAAAGACGAGAUGACUUACAACACGAUUAUUCACAUGUAUGGGAAGCAGGGCCAGCUUGAUCUCGCGCUGAAGCUUUAUAAGGACAUGAAAGGGUUGUCUGGUAUCAAACCCUGAUGUUAGACGCUAAUGUCAAGUUGCAGCAUUAUAGAAUUAUAGAAUACUCAUAUAAAGUUGGAGGCUUUAUGCCUUUCUUGUUUAUAAGUAGCUAACUUUUGCAAACUUGUCCUUCUUAAUGUAUACACAAAAGUGUGUCAUCUUUCGAAACAGUUAUGGUUAAACUGCUUAACAUGGAAGAGUAAUAAUCUUUGAGGUUGAACCUUAUCAUAUAUAAUUAAUUAUUUAUCAGCUAGUGUAGGUUUGAGGUUGAAGCUUAUCUUUGAGGUUGAGUCAGGGUUUCUUCCUCUGUACACAAACCAUGGCAUAGGUCUCACUACUACUUGGAGCCCACUUGCUUCCGGUGUGCUCACUGGUAAAUACAACAAGGGAUCUAUUCCUUCGGACAGCCGAUUUGCAUUGGAGAACUACAAAAGGAAUCCUUUUGUUAUUGCUCUUUGGUCAUAACUGUUUUCUCAACUGCAUCUAAGACAUCGUUACUGGUUUUAACUUGUUUUGUAGAACCUUGCCAAUAGAUCACUUGUGGAUGACGCGGGUGCGGAGGAAAGUCAGCGGUCUCAACCCUAUUGCAGAUGAGCUACGUGUGACCUUGGCUCAGCGUGCCAUCGCAUAGCCUGCUUCAAAUCCUAGUGUGUCAUCUGUUAUCACCGGUGCCACAAGGGAGUCACAGAUUCAAGAAAACAUGAAGGCUGUUGAUGUGAUCCCAUUGUUGACGCCACAUGUUCAGGACAAGAUCGAGCAAGUGAGAUCUCUCUUGUCCUAUUGGAUAGGUUUCAGAAAGAGAGAUCAUUUGGAGCUCUGGGGUGUUUUUACUUUGAUGUUGUCUUUGUGUUGUUCUCAUGCAUAUUUAAAACUCGAGGCAGAAGUGAAUGGCGGGAAAUAGGAGUGCAGCAAAGCCGUGGAUGGGUCCAUCACGCUAUUCAUCGCCCUGAGCCACACAUCAUGCUCUUCCGGAGGACUCUCAACUACCAACCUCCAAAUCCCAUACCUAAGUAGUAGAAUUUAUAUGCACCAACCCAUCAUUCUCUCUAUACCUAUUUGGUUUAUGUCUCUCGUAAACAAACCACCCUCUGUUACAUUCCCCCGUGGCUCUUUUUAUUUAUUUAUUUGUGUUCAUGAACUCUCUUCAGUGGAGAAAUGUUUGAGUGGUAGAAGACCACUUUAUUAUGUUUGGCA